UACACACCGCCCGUCACACCAUGGGAGCGGGAUGUACCAGAAGUAGGUAGGCUAACUCGCAAGAGGGCCGCUUACCACGGUGCGUUUCGUGACUGGGGUG
RNAcentral lists this ribosomal RNA (100 nucleotides) under uncultured bacterium. RNAcentral describes it as "partial 16S ribosomal RNA". It matches the Rfam family "Bacterial small subunit ribosomal RNA", at positions 1384 to 1482 of the family's 1533-position model. The record is from RNAcentral.